GGAGAGGUGGCCGAGCGGCUGAAGGCAACGGUUUGCUAAACCGUCGUACUGGUGAAUGCCGGUACCGCGGGUUCGAAUCCCGCCCUCUCCG
RNAcentral lists this transfer RNA (91 nucleotides) under Pseudomonadota bacterium. Its description in RNAcentral is "tRNA-Ser". It matches the Rfam family "tRNA". From Rfam's summary of the family: Transfer RNA (tRNA) molecules are approximately 80 nucleotides in length. Their secondary structure includes four short double-helical elements and three loops (D, anti-codon, and T loops). The record is from RNAcentral. Lineage: Bacteria; Pseudomonadati; Pseudomonadota. RNAcentral also lists the same sequence under 2 other names.